Podarcis lilfordi (Lilford's wall lizard) is the source of this 1527-nucleotide non-coding RNA. Lineage: Eukaryota; Metazoa; Chordata; Lepidosauria; Squamata; Lacertidae. The record is from the annotation of a GenBank genome assembly.
AAAGCGGCUAACAUUCUCCUUUCCCUUCCUCCCCCACAACAAGCACUCUGUGAGGUGAGUGGGGCUGAGAGACUUCAAAGAAGUGUGACUAGCCCAAGGUCACCCAGCAGCUGCAUGGGGAGGAGCAGAGACCCGAACCCGGUUCACCAGAUUAUGAGUCUACCGCUAUUAACCACUACCACCACACUGGCUCUCGCUACCCUUGGGAACAUAGGGUAGAGUAGAGUACUCCACAAGUAGAGUAUUGAGACUACUUUCCUCCUGCAUCAUAGCCUCCACCCUGCCACAGUUUCUAUUACCCUCAGGGGCACCAAUGGGGGUGUUCCUACCUUAGCUUCUAGAAGCCAGGAGACAACAGUUGUUGGAAAAUGUUCAGCUCCCCACCAUAUUGCAUUCCCAAGAAAAAUCACCUAGUACUAGAAUCGGAGGCUAAGUGCUCUCAUCAAAACAAUGGAAAUAUUACAGUCUCACAGCUUUCCUCCAGGAAUCUUGCCGCCUGUCGCUGGAAAUGGUAGGCUAGUGAGCCUCCACAGACUCUAUCUACUCAGGUCUCAUAGUUGCCUUCAAGUGCUGAAGAGAACAGGUUGUUCAAAGUGAUCCCUUGCAAUUAAUGAUGGUAUCUGUUUCUAGAUUUGCCAUGCCCGACAAAAGUAUGGGCUGUCUACUUUUCUUUGGUCAGCAGGACAGCACUUUCCAUUGGCUACACUUCAACCUCCAGAUUCAAUCUCAAGGUGUUGACUAUGGUGACUCUGAGAUGAAGUGCAUAUCCUCCAGAUGUUGGAUAUACUCUGGGUACAACCCAACAUGUCUAUCGCCUGGUUCUGACAGGUAGGCAAGUUAACCUAUGUUCCUUGGACCCUUCUCUCAAACACAGUUCAUUGCCUUCACCAAGGCUACCUAGUAAUAAGUGUUUUGAAGACAGCAAGCUAAGCAUUCCUCAAAUUAUUAUUUCUUUUGAAUUUUUGUGUCUGAGCUCCAACCUGGUCUUAGAAUUACUUACACUUCAGAACAACAGCAUGAUCCACCCCAUUGAUUUUCAUUAGAAAUGGUAAGUAACAAGCUUAACUUACCCACCUCACUGAAAUGAAUGGAUUUAAGAGUGUGUGGCUGGAUUAUGCCCUUAAGUAUAUAUUAUUUUCAUAUCACUUUUUGCUACACAAAUGGUUUUACAAUUUUCUCAACUAUGUGAGGUAGUGAUAUGCCCAAGACAAUGAUUUCCAUGCCAUUGAGACAGAUAAUAAUUUAUUGUAAGGAAUACGUCAUGCUGAAGUCAAUUCACCGGCAAAAAAUGUGGGUGGCUGCCCAUUUUGAUAAAAAUAUGACCAACUGUUUGGAUUAGCAUAAAGUAACUUGGGAAAUUUCUUGUGUUGCUUACUUUCUGAUGAGUAACAGCAUGCAGCAUUGCUAAGCUUGAUUAAGCAAAUUUAAUUGGUUGUCCUUAAUGCAUUCUUGCAAAUGUGAAAUAGUCCAUUUAAGUAUGGCUGUUAAUCUUUCAAUAAUUUGUAAGAAAUAAAAUAACUAACCAUG